GUGAGCAAAUUUUCAGGUCGAU
Molecule: microRNA, 22 nt
Filed under: Hyalella azteca
Lineage: Eukaryota; Metazoa; Arthropoda; Malacostraca; Amphipoda; Hyalellidae
Description: miR-87c
Source: RNAcentral